AAAGCAUUUCUUUCUCACUCUGUCUGCCUCCUCAAAGGUCGAAACUGGAGCUGAUGAAACUGUACUACAUAUUUAACAGAUAACUGACAGUGAGAGGAAGUUUGGAUAGGAAGUUUUCACAAGUCAAGUAGUGACAACGACAUGUGACAUCUUUGUGAAAGGACACUAGAACUUCUGUCACUACAUAUCUGAAAGAGUUAUUAGCAGAGUACAGUACACUAGACAUUUUUUUAUUUUUCCCCAAGACAAAACAUCAGACGUAUUUAGGAUUUCUGGUGAACCUGAGGAAUUUUGGACCCUUCUUCCCUCAAGAUCAAGUCUGGGCAGGUCUAAAUGUGUGAGAACGAACUACAAGAAGUGAGAGUUGAGGAUGCUUUACUUGAACAGCCUGAGCCGAGGGCUAAUGGGUGCAGUGUCCUCUGUCGGGACUUCUGUACGGACAAAGACCAUCGCAAAUUAGCCAUUUGCAGCAUCAUAUGUGGCCUCUCCUGUCUAGGAAUUAUGUCCUUUAUGUACUCAGUCAAGGCCCGAGAGACAAGAAAACGACUUCAAAAUGAAGAUAGUCCAGAAACACGAGAGAUGGUUAAGAAAUACUCAAAAAAGGCGUGUAAAUGGGGUAUUGGGUCCAUUGUAGCCUGGGUAAUUUUAAUUCUCAUCUUUCCAUUGCUGCUGGGAUUUCUGUCCUAUGUUUUAACCUUCAUAGAUUGACACUGAAGAAGCUUUUCUACAGUUAAGUGAGUAAUGAACUCUAAGAGAGC
Carassius carassius (crucian carp) is the source of this 758-nucleotide long non-coding RNA. RefSeq lists it as uncharacterized. Lineage: Eukaryota; Metazoa; Chordata; Actinopteri; Cypriniformes; Cyprinidae. The transcript is spliced from 3 exons. The record is from RefSeq and is a predicted model, not a curated record.